AACAGGCAGCACAGUAAAAAUUUCGGUCUUUAUGGGUGGCGAGUGGCGGACGGGUGAGUAAAGCGUAGGAAUCUGUCCUGGAGCGUGGGAUAACCCGAGGAAACUCGGGCUAAUACCACAUGAUAUCGAGAGAUCAAAAGCAGGGGACCGAAAGGCCUUGCGCUCUGGGGUGAGCCUACGUCGGAUUAGCUAGUUGGUGGGGUAAAAGCCUACCAAGGCGACGAUCCGUAGCUGGUCUGAAAGGAUGACCAGCCACACUGGGACUGAGACACGGCCCAGACUCCUACGGGAGGCAGCAGUGGGGAAUCUUGGACAAUGGGGGAAACCCUGAUCCAGCGAUGCCGCGUGUGUGAAGAAGGCCUUCGGGUUGUAAAGCACUUUAGGUGGGGAAGAAAGGUAACGAGCGAAUAACUUGUUGCUAUGACGGUACCCGCAGAAUAAGCACCGGCUAACUCUGUGCCAGCAGCCGCGGUAAUACAGAGGGUGCAAGCGUUAAUCAGAAUGACUGGGCGUAAAGGGCGUGUAGGUGGUUGACUAGGUUUGAUGUGAAAUCCCCGGGCUUAACCUGGGAAUUGCGUCGAAAACGGGUCGACUCGAGUGAGAUAGAGGGUUGUGGAAUUUCCGGUGUAGCGGUGAAAUGCGUAGAUAUCGGAAAGAACAUCAGUGGCGAAGGCGGGAACCUGGAUCUUAACUGACACUGAGGCGCGAAGGCGUG
Molecule: ribosomal RNA, 715 nt
Filed under: Rickettsiella sp. 168
Lineage: Bacteria; Pseudomonadati; Pseudomonadota; Gammaproteobacteria; Legionellales; Coxiellaceae
Description: bacterial SSU rRNA
Rfam family: Bacterial small subunit ribosomal RNA
Source: RNAcentral